CUGCGCUGGUUAAAAGCGAAAAGGUCGACUUUUGAGAUAGUCACUUUUGUGAGAGUCACAUUUCAGCAGUCUACAUUCCUUGGUUACCUAAACGUUUCAACGGCAAGAGGACUCUGUUUGAUUUCGAUUAGCGAUCAAGCCAAAACGUUUACCAAAAUGUCUCAUACCAUGCAAGCGUUUGACAAUACAACCUCUAUGACUGUGAGUGAAGUCUAUGAUUUGACAAAGCAGAAAUACUACACGAAGAAGAGGGGUCAAUGUACGUGCGGCUUUUUGAAUCGGAAAGUUUCUAUUCGUGUUUGGCGCAUUUUGCUGUUUCUGUUCAUCCUACUGGUGUUAAUUCUAUUGGAAGGUUUGUUGGUGGCAUUUUACGGUCCUAGCCUGGAGACCAUCUUUUGAAAAACUCUAGCUAACCUGGAACAGGUCUUCUGUGAUCUAACAGAGAAGAAAAGAACUGAUGGUCACUCACACUGCAUGGAGUUUAUCUGAAUAUGUGUUAAUAACGUAUCACUCAAUCAACAGAAGUUCUAUGUAUACUAUAUAUAACCGUAGAAUCUCAAGGCCCAUGUAUAUAUUUAUGUAGUGGACUAGGACUUUUAUACAUUCGUGCAGUCUAGAUACCAUAUCUUUUUGCUGUGGAAUGCAUCACUGGACAGAAACUAAUUACGCUUAUUUGGGGAAGAAUCUUCAUAUUCAUUAGCUGUAUUUUUUUUUUCGGUUAAUCAACCAAAUAAAGAAAAUUGUAAUUCAUGGAUUUACCGAUAGUAUUUCUAUAAUUAGCUGCUACAUGGUGUACUUUACUUUAUGCAAUAAGCAGCUACAGGAAACAAACACUCCCUAGAAUUUUGCAUUGCAUUUGCCUUCCUUUGCACACUAGCUAAGAAAAUAUUCUUUGUUCGGAAGAAAGUUUUGUGCUUAAAUGUGUGGCAAUUGUGCAAAUUCAUAGCAAAUCAGUUCUUGCUCUUAAUUUGACAAAUUUAGAGCAAACUAUCAGCAAAUAUGUACAUUUGCAUUCCUUGAGCAGACGUAUUCAAAAAAUAGGAGUAAAAAAAUUAUUUUGCUCCAUA
Stylophora pistillata is the source of this 1067-nucleotide long non-coding RNA. RefSeq lists it as uncharacterized. Lineage: Eukaryota; Metazoa; Cnidaria; Anthozoa; Scleractinia; Pocilloporidae. The record is from RefSeq and is a predicted model, not a curated record.